Long non-coding RNA from Lontra canadensis (Northern American river otter), 259 nucleotides. RefSeq lists it as uncharacterized. NCBI's taxonomy places the organism in Eukaryota, Metazoa, Chordata, Mammalia, Carnivora, Mustelidae. The record is from RefSeq and is a predicted model, not a curated record. The transcript is spliced from 3 exons.
GUGAGAUCAAGAGGCGGGCCCUCCGAGGCGAGGGAGGUGCGGAAGGAAAUACAGAGGACAGAGGAACAUAUUUAGCUGCACCAUGAACAUGUACUCAGCAAAAUCCAUGUUGUGGGGAACUCUACAGUCAAGGUCAAACUCUACAGGUCAAUGUAUUCUUCAACAGAUUCAUUGAAGAAAUUGCCAUCUGUCAAAGAAAGCCUGCUGGGAUCAAUGUAACACCACUCCCCAAGGGCAGCUUGCUUCCCUUGGUACAACC